Molecule: long non-coding RNA, 321 nt
Organism: Sander lucioperca (pikeperch)
Lineage: Eukaryota; Metazoa; Chordata; Actinopteri; Perciformes; Percidae
Exons: 3
Source: RefSeq, a predicted model, not a curated record
AGAACACGAGUCAACUGCCCGUGCUGCGUCAGUUUUAAAACAAACGACCCUGCUGGAGGCAAGCUGCUUUUCAUGACAAAGAUGAAUAAAUUUCAGAUCAGUUUAUGCAUUUGCAUCUCUGUUCCAGUUUCAAGAAGUUAAGGAAGAUUACUAGAGAUGUGAUAAAGAUACCAGAAGACUGAGAAGAACCUGCCACUCAUUAGAAAGAUGAUGGAGACCACAUUCCCCCUAUGCCGACAGACCAUAGUGAUGUCCUGCCCACCAGUGAACGAGCUCAUGGACCUCUGGCCUGCUCUCAAAAUAGAGUAAUAGAGGUAAUAU